This is a long non-coding RNA of Rhinopithecus bieti (black snub-nosed monkey), 498 nucleotides long. The record is from Ensembl. Lineage: Eukaryota; Metazoa; Chordata; Mammalia; Primates; Cercopithecidae.
ACAAAAUAUUUGCUCUUUUCACUAAUUUUUCUUUUCUCUCUCUUUUCAACACACUAAACCUUUUCCAAAGGUUCCAGAGGAGGAGUCAAAGCGGCUGUAAUCUUGAUUCAGUUUUAUGGGCAAUAGAAUUAUUUUACUGAUUCCUGGAAUCAUGGCUCCUAUACAUCUGCUCUCUAUGAGCACUUUGGAAAUUAAAGGAUUGCCAGCUUUUCCACUUUGGGACAAAAAACAUUUGUGCUAAACAGCCGACUUUGAACUAACUUUAUUCUCCAACAUCAGUCAAAAUAAUUUUCUCAAUUAAGAUCUGUCAACUAAACACGCACAAAAUGACCUUCACGGGAUAGUCCUUAGGAAAAGCUAAUAAAUGAUUGCAAAAUGAGACAAGGAAAAGCACUUGGUAAGUCUUGAAUAAUAAAUCAGGACCUUUCUGUGUUAAGUCAAACUAAGACGCAUUUAAUUUGGAAUCUUCCAGUGUUUGGCUAUCUGCUCAAGGAAAAA